CCAUCACAUUCACGCCGAGCGACUGGCUCUAACGCAUGCCUUGCAUGUUACGACCAGUGUGCCGUGGCUGUUAAGCCACCGGGUUGUUUUGGAAACGAAAUAACCUCCCGUACUUGGAAAGGUGUUGACCAUGCUAAUGGA
This 141-nucleotide non-coding RNA is filed under the name Pseudidiomarina piscicola. Its description in RNAcentral is "Molybdenum/Tungsten riboswitch aptamer (Moco RNA motif)". It matches the Rfam family "Molybdenum/Tungsten riboswitch aptamer (Moco RNA motif)". The record is from Rfam by way of RNAcentral. Lineage: Bacteria; Pseudomonadati; Pseudomonadota; Gammaproteobacteria; Alteromonadales; Idiomarinaceae.